GACGAACGCUGGCGGCGUGCUUAACACAUGCAAGUCGAACGAAAAGGCCCGGCUUUUGUGCGGUGCUCGAGUGGCGAAGGGGUGAGUAACACGUGAGUAACCUGCACUUGACUGUGGGGGAUCUUCAGGAAACAGGGGCUAAUACCGGAUAUGAUCUCUUGCAGCAGGGUGGGCGUGGGUAAGAUUCGGUGGUUGGGGGGUUAAUAGCGGGUUAACAGCUUGAUGGGUGGGUAGUGGCUGAGCAAGGUUUUGAGGGGUAGGAGGCCUGGGAGGAUGAACGGGCCCAUUGCGCCUGAGCUACGGCCCAGACUCCAAUCGGACGCAACAGUGGAGAAUAUUGCACAAUGGGCGGAAGUCAGAUGUAGUAACGCCGUGCGCGGGAUGACAUGCUUCGGGUUGUAAACUGCUUUCGCUUGUCACGAAGCGUUAGUGACGGUACCGGGUAAAGAAGCACCGGCUAACUACGUG
Molecule: ribosomal RNA, 468 nt
Filed under: uncultured bacterium
Lineage: Bacteria
Description: partial 16S ribosomal RNA
Rfam family: Bacterial small subunit ribosomal RNA
Source: RNAcentral